Molecule: ribosomal RNA, 430 nt
Filed under: uncultured bacterium
Lineage: Bacteria
Description: partial 16S ribosomal RNA
Rfam family: Bacterial small subunit ribosomal RNA
Source: RNAcentral
ACGAACGCUGGCGGCAGGCCUAACCCAUGCAAGUCGAGCGCCCUUUCGGGGGAGCGGCGGACGGGUGAGUAACGCGUGGGAAUAUGCCCUUCUCUACGGAAUAGCCUCGGGAAACUGAGAGUAAUACCGUAUACGCCCUGUGGGGGAAAGAUUUAUCGGGGAAGGAUUAGCCCGCGUUGGAUUAGGUAGUUGGUAGGGUAAUGGCCUACCAAGCCGACGAUCCAUAGCUGGUUUGAGAGGAUGAUCAGCCACACUGGGACUGAGACACGGCCCAGACUCCUACGGGAGGCAGCAGUGGGGAAUCUUAGACAAUGGGGGCAACCCUGAUCUAGCCAUGCCGCGUGAGUGAUGAAGGCCUUAGGGUUGUAAAGCUCUUUCAGCUGGGAAGAUAAUGACGGUACCAGCAGAAGAAGCCCCGGCUAACUCCGUG